Molecule: ribosomal RNA, 492 nt
Filed under: uncultured bacterium
Lineage: Bacteria
Description: partial 16S ribosomal RNA
Rfam family: Bacterial small subunit ribosomal RNA
Source: RNAcentral
AGUGAACGCUGGCGGUAGGCCUAACACAUGCAAGUCGAACGGCAGCACAGUAAGAGCUUGCUCUUACGGGUGGCGAGUGGCGGACGGGUGAGGAAUACAUCGGAAUCUAUUUUUUCGUGGGGGAUAACGUAGGGUAACUUACGCUAAUACCGCAUACGACCUACGGGUGAAAGCAGGGGAUCUUCGGACCUUGCGCGAUUGAAUGAGCCGAUGUCGGAUUAGCUAGUUGGCGGGGUAAAGGCCCACCAAGGCGACGAUCCGUAGCUGGUCUGAGAGGAUGAUCAGCCACACUGGAACUGAGACACGGUCCAGACUCCUACGGGAGGCAGCAGUGGGGAAUAUUGGACAAUGGGCGCAAGCCUGAUCCAGCCAUACCGCGUGGGUGAAGAAGGCCUUCGGGUUGUAAAGCCCUUUUGUUGGGAAAGAAAAGCAGCAGGUUAAUACCCCGCUGUUCUGACGGUACCCAAAGAAUAAGCACCGGCUAACUUCGUG